Gallus gallus (chicken) is the source of this 377-nucleotide long non-coding RNA. Lineage: Eukaryota; Metazoa; Chordata; Aves; Galliformes; Phasianidae. The record is from Ensembl.
GUUUGCAACGUGCUUGCAGCAGGUACUGCUGAAAAUAGGAUGUGCUUGCUCUAUAGCCACACAGCCAUGCUUGGGAGUGCCUACCAACAUAUUUGCUAAUGAAGAAGUGCUUUGGACACUGGUUGUGCUAACAGAGAGGUCUGCUUCCUGGAACUGAAGAUGUCUCCUGGAACCACACCUGGAACAUUUGGAAACUUGGAUUUGCCUGGGGUUAGUUGCAGCUGAAAUUUCAGCUCCGUUAACAUCUAAAGUAUUAAAUAUCUUCCCUUCUUGCGCUGGACCUUUUAUCUUGGAGAUGGUCUUCAAUGAUGCAGAUGAAACAAAGCAUGGCAAAAGUGAGCUGACCACCUGCAAGUGGAUGGGAAAGGGCCUCCAGC